Molecule: ribosomal RNA, 321 nt
Filed under: uncultured bacterium
Lineage: Bacteria
Description: bacterial SSU rRNA
Rfam family: Bacterial small subunit ribosomal RNA
Source: RNAcentral
AAUCAACGCUGGCGGCGUGCCUCAGACAUGCAAGUCGAACGCGAAAGUCCCCUUCGGGGGACAAGUAGAGUGGCGCACGGGUGAGUAACACGUAGGUAAUCUACCUUCGGAUGGGGAAUAACAAUCGGAAACGGUUGCUAAUACCGCAUAAUGCAGCGGCACCUAAUGGUGACAGUUGUUAAAGCGGGGGAUCGAAAGACCUCGCGUCUGAAGAGGAGCCUGCGGCGGAUUAGCAGUUGGUAAGGUAAUGGCUUACCAAGGCGACGAUCCGUAACCGGCCUGAGAGGGCGGUCGGUCACACUGACACUGACAUACGGGUCA